UUGAACGCUGGCGGCAUGCUUUACACAUGCAAGUCGAACGGCAGCGCGGGCUUCGGCCUGGCGGCGAGUGGCGAACGGGUGAGUAAUACAUCGGAACGUGCCCAGUAGUGGGGGAUAGCUCGGCGAAAGCCGGAUUAAUACCGCAUACGACCUGAGGGUGAAAGCGGGGGAUCUUCGGACCUCGCGCUAUUGGAGCGGCCGAUGGCAGAUUAGCUAGUUGGUGGGGUAAAGGCCUACCAAGGCGACGAUCUGUAGCUGGUCUGAGAGGACGACCAGCCACACUGGGACUGAAACACGGCCCAGACUCCUACGGGAGGCAGCAGUGGGGAAUUUUGGACAAUGGGCGAAAGCCUGAUCCAGCAAUGCCGCGUGUGUGAUGAAGGCCUUCGGGUUGUAAAGCACUUUUGGCGGGAACGAAAAGGACUGUGCCAAUACCACGGUUCGAUGACGGUACCCGCAGAAUAAGCACCGGCUAACUACGUG
RNAcentral lists this ribosomal RNA (483 nucleotides) under uncultured bacterium. Its description in RNAcentral is "partial 16S ribosomal RNA". It matches the Rfam family "Bacterial small subunit ribosomal RNA", at positions 29 to 507 of the family's 1533-position model. The record is from RNAcentral.